This 368-nucleotide ribosomal RNA is filed under the name uncultured organism. RNAcentral's name for it is "bacterial SSU rRNA". It matches the Rfam family "Bacterial small subunit ribosomal RNA", at positions 526 to 896 of the family's 1533-position model. The record is from RNAcentral.
CGAAGGAUCCAAGCGUUGUCCGGAUUUACUGGGUUUAAAGGGUGCGUAGGCGGGCUAUUAAGUCAGUGGUGAAAGCUUGCAGCUUAACUGUAAAAUUGCCAUUGAAACUGAUAGCCUCGAAUAUGGUUGAGGUGGUUGGAAUGUAUCAUGUAGCGGUGAAAUGCUUAGAUAUGAUACAGAACACCGAUUGCGAAGGCAGAUCACUAAACCAUUAUUGACGCUGAAGCACGAAAGCGUGGGGAUCAAACAGGAUUAGAUACCCUGGUAGUCCACGCCCUAAACGUUGCAUACUCGGUUUUAGCGAUAUACCGUUAGGACCCAAGCGAAAGCGUUAAGUAUGCCACCUGGGAAGUACGUCCGCAAGGAUG